RNAcentral lists this transfer-messenger RNA (391 nucleotides) under bacterium. It matches the Rfam family "transfer-messenger RNA". From Rfam's summary of the family: Bacterial tmRNA, also known as 10Sa RNA or SsrA, is named for its dual tRNA and mRNA-like properties. Its role is to liberate the mRNA from a stalled ribosome. The record is from RNAcentral.
GGGGAUGAUCGGCUUCGACAAGAAGUUUUCGUACGUAUGUGCGUAGCGGAAGUGGCGUAACUUCCUAAAAAUGCGCUGAACCUACAAGUGCAAACAAAACUGCACGCGGAAUCCUCUCACCUAUCCAGGCGAAGGACUUCCAGUUCGCUUACGCAAUAGCCUAAGCGACCGUCGCACUGCCCGAUGUCCGGCAACGGCAGAUGCGGCGUCAUAGGUUUCGGACUCGAACAAAGAGUCGUCCGGCUCUGCGUUUUAAAUCUAAGGACUCGGCUUCGCGCGAUUUUGUUUGUUUUAUACUCGCGAAGUUUAAAUCAAAAAAGCAAACUACGCUUCGUAGAUGCAUGCAUACGGUCUUCCUUGCACGCGGGUUCGAUUCCCGCCAUCUCCACCA